UUGCUUGAGCAAAAAUUAUUGGCGAAAAUAGUUUCCAAAUGUAGAUAAGAAAUCAAAAAAAUAUUAACCAAGCAUUGUUAUUAAGCAAUGAGGAGGAGGGACUUGACACAAUAAUAAGGUUGCUCCUCUGUGGCCUAGAGGUUAUGGGUUCAAAACACAGAAGUAGCUUCUCAAUACGUGAGGAUAAGGCUAUGUGCAUCUGACUCUUCUCGGACCUCGCAAUGGCAGGAGCCUCAUAAACUGGGCCACUCUUUUUAUGUUAUUAGGUGAUGAGCAUUUCGAGAAAUUAAAACCAGAAACAAUUCCCAGAGUAGCUAUUUUGUGUAUGAGAAAAUAAAGUUACUGUAUUCUUCUGGUUAUCCUAGUAUUCAUAGUUGAAGCUCUAACAACUAAAGGAUUGUGUCGAGGAAAAGAAUUUUGAAGAAACAACCAACUUUGUUUUUGUUUCUGCAGAUUUGGAGCACCUUUUUUGUCUUUUGCAAGAAUGGCCCAGUUUUGAAUGCUUUGGAUGCUUGUGCCCCUGGCCAUGUGGAUCCAAAUCUAGCUCGUGAAUGUAUAUUUUACAAUCAACAAAUAUGCCCACUAAAUAUUAAAAUUAUGUGCAUUGGUAUAAAAGCAUAAGCAUCCAGUAUCAAAAUAUGUGCAUCCAACUCCACUUACUAAUAGAAUGUAUCUGUUGGGGUCAAGGUCAAAGGCCUGAAAUUUUUACAACUCCACCAUUCUUGCAAAAUAAAAAUAAUGAUAAUGAUGAUGAUGAUGAUGAUGGUCUAAAUUUGAAAAAAAAGGAAAAUAAAAUAGGCUGUUUUUCAAAGAUCUCCUUAAGUCUAUUUUAUAAGGCAAUGGAGCUUCAGACUAUAGUGUUUUGAUAUAAUAUUUGUUCUCCAGCCUAGUCUUCGCAUCUCCAUCAGUUUUGGUAAUUCUCCCGCUUUCUUGUGAGCAUGUUUUUCACUAUAUAACAAUAUUAUUUCUAAUUGUCUUGUGCUUAUACUCUUUGUUUACGGCCUACCAUGUUAUAAGCCCUUCAAAAAUAAACCCAUAUUACUUUCGGGAAAACAUCCCAAACAUAUUCCUUUUUUUCUACAGUAAACUUUAAAUGAUAAAACUUGUAAAACAAUCACA
Molecule: long non-coding RNA, 1119 nt
Filed under: Phoenix dactylifera (date palm)
Lineage: Eukaryota; Viridiplantae; Streptophyta; Magnoliopsida; Arecales; Arecaceae
Description: long non-coding RNA (PDAC_LNC015796)
Source: RNAcentral